RNAcentral lists this non-coding RNA (45 nucleotides) under Echinostoma caproni. The record is from RNAcentral. Lineage: Eukaryota; Metazoa; Platyhelminthes; Trematoda; Plagiorchiida; Echinostomatidae.
GCACUGCUGACGAAUCCCAAACAAGACGAAACAGCUGUCCAGUGC